RNAcentral lists this ribosomal RNA (228 nucleotides) under uncultured bacterium. RNAcentral's name for it is "partial 16S ribosomal RNA". It matches the Rfam family "Bacterial small subunit ribosomal RNA", at positions 568 to 796 of the family's 1533-position model. The record is from RNAcentral.
UGCGUAGGCGGCGGCAUAAGUCAGAAGUGAAAGUUGGCAGCUUAACUGCAAAAUUGCUUUGAUACUGUGUUGCUUGAAUCACGUUGAGGCUGGCGGAAUGUGGCAUGUAGCGGUGAAAUGCUUAGAUAUGCCAUAGAACACCAAUUGCGAAGGCAGCUGGCUAGACGUGUAUUGACGCUGAGGCACGAAAGCGUGGGGAGUGAACAGGAUUAGAUACCCUGGUAGUCC